UAGAAACAAUGAGAGCGAUGACUCAAUGACUUCUGAUGCAUCCUCAUGGCCUAGCACUCAUCAGCCUCCAAGAAACACCAAGAAUCAUGUAGCUGCAAAGAAUAGUAAUACCAAACAAGUCAACCAUCAGACAGAGAACAACAGAGUUCGUUCCAGAUUCAGCGACCAAGGAGAGGAAUCUGAGCUCAAUGCUAGAACAAGAACAACUCAAGCUAGUCGUGUUAAAAGUAGAAGCAAGGUGAGCAAAACCAAAUAAGUCAAUCUCUCAUACUGGUUUUUUUUUUUUUUUGUAAUUUCUUUAAGCUAUCUCCAAUGUUCUCUUCUGCUAAAAACUUAUGCAGUUGAUACGCAAUUCAGACUAUUAUGUAGUUGUCUCUACCCUCUUCAUUUUGAGAUGUAUGUGUCAUUUGCAUUGCUUUCUUGAAAAACAGGAUUAUGUUUUUUGUUUAAUGCAAACUCCGUUCAUGUUUUCCGUUUGGAGCUAUGCUAAUAAUAUCUACCUUUUACACAUAUACUCCGUUCUAACACAAAACGGGAACAUAUGUUAUUUCUAAUCUAACCUCUUCAAGAAAGGAGCAAUCAAGAAGGUAAUGCCAGGAAGUUAAAAAAAAAAAUCAAUAAUCCAUAGCCAUUGAAAAGCAAACGUGUUAACAAAUUUUACUCAUAUCAAUUAAUUUCGUAAAAAAUCAGAUCCAAACGAUUUGAGUUUUGGUAUAAAACAAAGAGGCUGAUGACAAAACAGGAGUUUCUAAGGUUACCAGAUUGUUCCCAUAGGUGUGGCCCCAAAGUAGUAUAGCUAACACACCAAAGCUUUGCCUCUUAACAAAGACUCCUGCUGCUUUCAAUGCCUUCACAUGAUUCUUUUUUUUUUGUAAAGAAAGAACAAAUUUCAAUCAUUCAAGAUAUGUCAUUAUCAAAACACUUUCACAAAACUUUCAUAAAUUACUAUUUUCACAACAGCAAAAAAAUAGUUAAAAGAUGAUUCUAAUUAACCUGAUUGUGAUAUUAGUUCUUCUCCACUUUUAUUUCAAUCACAUAUAUACAAUAGCUUCUGUCUAUUCACAACAGUAAAUAGAAAGAAGUUAAGGGUUUUCAAAAGUCAAAGAUAUGGUAAUUUUCAAUCAAUAAUACAGUUUUAAGAGUGUUGGAAAAUGACUGAAAAUUAAGUUUAAGCUUAUUAUUGAGGUUAUAAUGAAAUUUGUGGAACAGAAAACAACAAAAGAGUUUUAGCUGGCAGCUUGCUAAGAGAGGACCGUCCUCACGUAGAUGUGAUUCUCAAGUCACUUUCCACAUUGUAAUCUCAAAUCAACCAUGCACGUGCAUAAGCAAUAAACAGGUAGAUGAUAAUGAAAUAAGGGUCGUCCAAUCUAAUUCUAUGACCCACAAAAUGUGAGAGAGAAUGUGACUUUUGUAAAAUUGCACAACACUUUGGACCUGGUCUACCAAUUUUCAACUCCACGAUUACCAAACCGAGCAAGGUGAAGAACCAAGCGUUUCGGUCAA
Molecule: long non-coding RNA, 1503 nt
Filed under: Capsella rubella
Lineage: Eukaryota; Viridiplantae; Streptophyta; Magnoliopsida; Brassicales; Brassicaceae
Description: long non-coding RNA (CRUB_LNC004374)
Source: RNAcentral